This is a non-coding RNA of Pelobates cultripes (western spadefoot toad), 70 nucleotides long. The record is from the annotation of a GenBank genome assembly. Lineage: Eukaryota; Metazoa; Chordata; Amphibia; Anura; Pelobatidae.
UUUUAUUUUGACACUGGUUGCCCUUUCUUUAUAUAUAUAUAAAGAAAGGGCAACCAGUGUCAAAAUAAAA